This 1016-nucleotide ribosomal RNA is filed under the name uncultured bacterium. RNAcentral's name for it is "bacterial SSU rRNA". It matches the Rfam family "Bacterial small subunit ribosomal RNA", at positions 358 to 1376 of the family's 1533-position model. The record is from RNAcentral.
GGAAUUUUGGUCAAUGGACGCAAGUCUGAACCAGCCAUGCCGCGUGCAGGAUGACGGCUCUAUGAGUUGUAAACUGCUUUUGUACGAGGGUAAACGCAGAUACGUGUAUCUGUCUGAAAGUAUCGUACGAAUAAGGAUCGGCUAACUCCGUGCCAGCAGCCGCGGUAAUACGGAGGAUUCAAGCGUUAUCCGGAUUUAUUGGGUUUAAAGGGUGCGUAGGCGGUUUGAUAAGUUAGAGGUGAAAUUUCGGGGCUCAACCCUGAACGUGCCUCUAAUACUGUUGAGCUAGAGAGUAGUUGCGGUAGGCGGAAUGUAUGGUGUAGCGGUGAAAUGCUUAGAGAUCAUACAGAACACCGAUUGCGAAGGCAGCUUACCAAACUAUAUCUGACGUUGAGGCACGAAAGCGUGGGGAGCAAACAGGAUUAGAUACCCUGGUAGUCCACGCAGUAAACGAUGAUAACUCGUUGUCGGCGAUACACAGUCGGUGACUAAGCGAAAGCGAUAAGUUAUCCACCUGGGGAGUACGUUCGCAAGAAUGAAACUCAAAGGAAUUGACGGGGGCCCGCACAAGCGGAGGAACAUGUGGUUUAAUUCGAUGAUACGCGAGGAACCUUACCCGGGCUUGAAAGUUAGCGACGAUUCUUGAAAGAGGAUUUCCCUUCGGGGCGCGAAACUAGGUGCUGCAUGGUUGUCGUCAGCUCGUGCCGUGAGGUGUCGGGUUAAGUCCCAUAACGAGCGCAACCCCUACCGUUAGUUGCCAUCAGGUGAAGCUGGGCACUCUGGCGGGACUGCCGGUGUAAGCCGAGAGGAAGGUGGGGAUGACGUCAAAUCAGCACGGCCCUUACGUCCGGGGCUACACACGUGUUACAAUGGUAGGUACAGAGGGCAGCUACCCAGUGAUGGGAUGCGAAUCUCGAAAGCCUAUCUCAGUUCGGAUUGGAGGCUGAAACCCGCCUCCAUGAAGUUGGAUUCGCUAGUAAUCGCGCAUCAGCCAUGGCGCGGUGAAUACGUUCCCG